AGGGGAGUAGCUCAGUUGGUAGAGCACCGGUCUCCAAAACCGGGUGUCGCAGGUUCAAGUCCUGUCUCCCCUGCCA
Molecule: transfer RNA, 76 nt
Filed under: TM7 phylum sp. oral taxon 349
Lineage: Bacteria; Candidatus Saccharimonadota
Also listed under: 14 other names
Description: tRNA-Trp
Rfam family: tRNA
About the family: Transfer RNA (tRNA) molecules are approximately 80 nucleotides in length. Their secondary structure includes four short double-helical elements and three loops (D, anti-codon, and T loops).
Source: RNAcentral